RNAcentral lists this long non-coding RNA (304 nucleotides) under Eucalyptus grandis. RNAcentral describes it as "long non-coding RNA (EGRA_LNC001683)". Lineage: Eukaryota; Viridiplantae; Streptophyta; Magnoliopsida; Myrtales; Myrtaceae. The record is from RNAcentral.
CUGCUCUUCGGUCGGGUGUUGACCGAAUUGGCCAAUUCGGCUUCACGAGCAAAAGAUCGACGCCAGCAAGCUGCUUCUUCGUCCGCGCGCCUUCAGCCCGUCUGCAAGAGCAUUUCCAGCCCAAUCCCCAGCGAUUUGGGCCCGAUUCAGCAGACCCAAUUGAAUUCAUCCCACGGCCAGCAGCUUCUUUGGGCCGUAUCUUCAGCCCAUCUGCUCCUGCAUUUCAGUUUCGGCCAAUCUUCCUUCAAGCCAGCCCAAGAAUUUCAACAGGCCCAAGCCCAGAAGUUUCGGCGGGCUUGCUAAG